GUGGGGAAUAUUGGACAAUGGGCGAAAGCCUGAUCCAGCCAUGCCGCGUGUGUGAAGAAGGUCUUCGGAUUGUAAAGCACUUUAAGUUGGGAGGAAGGGCAGUAAGUUAAUACCUUGCUGUUUUGACGUUACCGACAGAAUAAGCACCGGCUAACUUCGUGCCAGCAGCCGCGGUAAUACGAAGGGUGCAAGCGUUAAUCGGAAUUACUGGGCAUAAAGCGCGCGUAGGUGGUUUUGUAAGUUGGAGGUGAAAUCCCCGGGCUCAACCUGGGAACUGACUCCAAAACUGCAUGACUAGAGUACGGUAGAGGGUAGUGGAAUUUCCUGUGUAGCGGUGAAAUGCGUAGAUAUAGGAAGGAACACCAGUGGCGAAGGCGACUACCUGGACUGAUACUGACACUGAGGUGCGAAAGCGUGGGGAGCAAACAGGAUUAGAAACCCGGGUAGUCC
RNAcentral lists this ribosomal RNA (450 nucleotides) under uncultured bacterium. RNAcentral describes it as "bacterial SSU rRNA". It matches the Rfam family "Bacterial small subunit ribosomal RNA", at positions 354 to 796 of the family's 1533-position model. The record is from RNAcentral.